UACGAAGGGGGCUAGCGUUGCUCGGAAUCACUGGGCGUAAAGCGCGCGUAGGCGGCCCGGAAAGUCGGAUGUGAAAUCCCGGGGCUCAACCCCGGGCCUGCAUCCGAUACUCCCGGGCUGGAGGCAGGUAGGGGAGAUCGGAAUUCCUGGUGUAGCGGUGAAAUGCGCAGAUAUCAGGAGGAACACCGAUGGCGAAGGCAGGUCUCUGGGCUGACACUGACGCUCAUGCACGAAAGCGUGGGGAGCAAACAGG
This 253-nucleotide ribosomal RNA is filed under the name uncultured bacterium. RNAcentral describes it as "partial 16S ribosomal RNA". It matches the Rfam family "Bacterial small subunit ribosomal RNA", at positions 524 to 776 of the family's 1533-position model. The record is from RNAcentral.